AGUGAACGCUGGCGGCGUGCUUAACACAUGCAAGUCGAACGAGAACGGAUUAUAGCUUGCUAUAAUUGUCAGCUAAGUGGCGCACGGGUGAGUAAUGUAUAGGUAAUAUGCCUCUUACUAAGGGAUAACAAAUAGAAACGUUUGCUAAUACCUUAUACUCCUUAUUAACAUAAGUUAAUAAGGGAAAGAUUUAUUGGUAAGAGAUUAGCCUGUAUUGUAUCAGUUAGUUGGUGGGGUAAUGGCUUACCAAGAAUAUGACACAUAACUGGUUUGAGAUGAUGAUCAGUCACACUGGAACUGAGACACGGUCCAGACUCCUACGGGAGGCAGCAGUGGGGAAUAUUGCACAAUGGACGAAAGUCUUAUGCAGCAACGCCGCGUGGAGGAUGACACAUUUCGGUGCGUAAACUCCUUUUAUAUGAGAAGAUAAUGACGGUAUUAUAUGAAUAAGCACCGGCUAACUCCGUGCCAGCCGCGGCAGUAA
This 484-nucleotide ribosomal RNA is filed under the name uncultured bacterium. Its description in RNAcentral is "partial 16S ribosomal RNA". It matches the Rfam family "Bacterial small subunit ribosomal RNA", at positions 29 to 523 of the family's 1533-position model. The record is from RNAcentral.